RNAcentral lists this transfer RNA (76 nucleotides) under Chloroflexota bacterium. Its description in RNAcentral is "Chloroflexi bacterium tRNA-Arg". It matches the Rfam family "tRNA". Rfam says of the family: Transfer RNA (tRNA) molecules are approximately 80 nucleotides in length. Their secondary structure includes four short double-helical elements and three loops (D, anti-codon, and T loops). Lineage: Bacteria; Bacillati; Chloroflexota. RNAcentral also lists the same sequence under 2 other names. The record is from RNAcentral.
GCCCCUGUAGCUCAGUGGAUAGAGCAGCGGUUUCCUAAACCGCGUGUCGUGAGUUCGACUCUCACCAGGGGUACCA